Pantherophis guttatus is the source of this 834-nucleotide non-coding RNA. The record is from RefSeq and is a predicted model, not a curated record. NCBI's taxonomy places the organism in Eukaryota, Metazoa, Chordata, Lepidosauria, Squamata, Colubridae.
UGCCUCGUAGGGAAUAGUCCUUUGUUUAUGGCUACUUUUUUGAGGCUUUACUCUGGUAAAGCUACAAUAGGCUGCUGGAAAACAGUUACUUCAGGACGUUAUUUGGGUUUCAAGUAUUGUUAUGCUCUGUGUUCCUUAUAUGGCUGUUACUUAAUGGAAAUCAAUUAAACAUCCCAAUCUGCCAUGAGAUCAGUGCCACAUGAUGACAAUUUGCCACUACUGAAGCCACCAGAGACAAUGGAGCUUACAUGAAACAGAUGAAGAUACUGCAAUGCACCAGCCAGGCACAGACAGUUACAGUGAUUUGGAUUUUGAACUGCUUUGCACUGUGAGCAAAACUCACUAGAACAGCAUCUCCUUACUGAUUCAUCAUUGUUAACCCUCAAGGCUGUCUCAUUACACAAUGGCAAUAUACAACGUUCAGUACCUGUUGACUAUGUGGCACACAUGGAAGAAGUAUAUGAAAACAUGGAACUGUUGUUGAAGCAGAUCCAGUACCGAGUAAAACUGGAAUGUAGGUGGAGAUCUAAAAUGGCUGUGGCUGCUUGAAAUGCAGCCCAGAUAUACCAAGUACAGUUAGUCUUCAACUUACAACCACAAUUGAGCCCAAAAUUUGUUGCUAAGUGAGACAUUUGUUAAGAGACUUUUAUUCCAUUUUACAUCCUUUCACAGUUGUUAAGUGAAUCACUGCAAUUGUUAAGUUAGUCAUACGUUUAAGUGAAUCUGGUUUCCCCACUGACUAACAGAAUAACAUGAGAUAGAAGAGACCUUGGAGGUUGUUGGAGGUUAGUAAGAACCGUGUUAUUUCUAUUCAUGAAUUACUUGUUUAGGACG